AUAUUUUGCAAUGGGCGAAAGCCUGAUCCAGCCAUGCCGCGUGUGUGAAGAAGGUCUUCGGAGUGNAAAGCACUUUAAGUGGGGAGNAAGGGCAGUAAGUUAAUACCUUGCUGUUUUGACGUUACCGACAGAAUAAGCACCGGCUACCUUCGUGCCAGCAGCCGCGGUAAUACGAAGGGUGCAAGCGUUAAUCGGAAUUACUGGGCGUAAAGCGCGCGUAGGUGGUUCGUUAAUUUGGGAGUGAAGGCCCCGGGCUUAACCUGGGAAUUGCUUUCAAAACUGACGAGCUAGAGUACGGUAGAGGGUAGUGGAAUUUCCUGUGUAGCGGUGAAAUGCGUAGAUAUAGGAAGGAACAUCAGUGGCGAAGGCGACUACCUGGACUGAUACUGACACUGAGGUGCGAAAGCGUGGGGAGCAAACAGG
Molecule: ribosomal RNA, 423 nt
Filed under: uncultured bacterium
Lineage: Bacteria
Description: partial 16S ribosomal RNA
Rfam family: Bacterial small subunit ribosomal RNA
Source: RNAcentral